UGACGUCAGUUCCUCCUCCUGCUCUCAGUUCAGCAGUGUGGAUUUUAUGAUGUCACAGAAUGAACCAGGGUCUAUUUCACCCAGGAGAUGUUAGGGCGGCAACGCUUCUACUGUACUCUCCUGGUUUUGCUGGACCCCACAAAU
Small nucleolar RNA from Gadus morhua (Atlantic cod), 144 nucleotides. Ensembl annotates it as small nucleolar RNA SNORA79. NCBI's taxonomy places the organism in Eukaryota, Metazoa, Chordata, Actinopteri, Gadiformes, Gadidae. The record is from Ensembl.